CCUACGGGUGGCAGCAGUGAGGAAUAUUGGUCAAUGGACGAGAGUCUGAACCAGCCAAGUAGCGUGAAGGAUGACGGUGCUAUGGGUUGUAAACUUCUUUUAUAUGGGAAUAAAACGUUCCACGUGUGGGAGUUUGUGUGUACCAGAAGAAUAAGGAUCGGCUAACUCCGUGCCAGCAGCCGCGGUAAUACGGAGGAUCCGAGCGUUAUCCGGAUUUAUUGGGUUUAAAGGGGGCGUAGGUGGAUUGUUAAGUCAGUUGUGAAAGUUUGGGGCUCAACCGUAAAAUUGCAGUUGAAACUGGCAGUCUUGAGUACAGUAGAGGUGGGCGGAAUGCGUGGUGUAGCGGUGAAAUGCUUAGAUAUCACGAAGAACUCCGAUUGCGAAGGCAGUUCACUGGACUGCAACUGACACUGAGGCUCGAAAGUGUGGGUAUCAAACAGGAUUAGAUACCCGUGUAGUC
RNAcentral lists this ribosomal RNA (460 nucleotides) under uncultured bacterium. Its description in RNAcentral is "partial 16S ribosomal RNA". It matches the Rfam family "Bacterial small subunit ribosomal RNA", at positions 338 to 795 of the family's 1533-position model. The record is from RNAcentral.